CCCAGUAAACGGCGGCCGUAACUAUAACGGUCCUAAGGUAGCGAAAUUCCUUGUCGGGUAAGUUCCGACCCGCACGAAAGGCGUAACGAUUUGGGCACUGUCUCAACGAGAGACUCGGUGAAAUCAUAGUACCUGUGAAGAUGCAGGUUACCCGCGACAGGACGGAAAGACCCCGUGGAGCUUUACUGUAGCCUGAUAUUGAAAUUCGGCACAGCUUGUACAGGAUAGGUAGGAGCCUUUGAAACGUGAGCGCUAGCUUACGUGGAGGCGCUGGUGGGAUACUACCCUAGCUGUGUUGGCUUUCUAACCCGCACCACUUAUCGUGGUGGGAGACAGUGUCAGGCGGGCAGUUUGACUGGGGCGGUCGCCUCCUAAAAGGUAACGGAGGCGCUCAAAGGUUCCCUCAGAAUGGUUGGAAAUCAUUCAUAGAGUGUAAAGGCAUAAGGGAGCUUGACUGCGAGACCUACAAGUCGAGCAGGGUCGAAAGACGGACUUAGUGAUCCGGUGGUUCCGCAUGGAAGGGCCAUCGCUCAACGGAUAAAAGCUACCCCGGGGAUAACAGGCUUAUCUCCCCCAAGAGUUCACAUCGACGGGGAGGUUUGGCACCUCGAUGUCGGCUCAUCGCAUCCUGGGGCUGUAGUCGGUCCCAAGGGUUGGGCUGUUCGCCCAUUAAAGCGGUACGCGAGCUGGGUUCAGAACGUCGUGAGACAGUUCGGUCCCUAUCCGUCGUGGGCGUAGGAAAUUUGAGAGGAGCUGUCCUUAGUACGAGAGGACCGGGAUGGACAUACCUCUGGUGUACCAGUUGUCGUGCCAACGGCAUAGCUGGGUAGCUAUGUGUGGACGGGAUAAGUGCUGAAAGCAUCUAAGCAUGAAGCCCCCCUCAAGAUGAGAUUUCCCAACUUCGGUUAUAAGAUCCCUCAAA
RNAcentral lists this ribosomal RNA (922 nucleotides) under Staphylococcus aureus. RNAcentral describes it as "partial 23S ribosomal RNA". It matches the Rfam family "Bacterial large subunit ribosomal RNA", at positions 1919 to 2842 of the family's 2925-position model. The record is from RNAcentral. Lineage: Bacteria; Bacillati; Bacillota; Bacilli; Caryophanales; Staphylococcaceae.